RNAcentral lists this ribosomal RNA (471 nucleotides) under Klebsiella pneumoniae. RNAcentral describes it as "bacterial SSU rRNA". It matches the Rfam family "Bacterial small subunit ribosomal RNA", at positions 1 to 470 of the family's 1533-position model. Lineage: Bacteria; Pseudomonadati; Pseudomonadota; Gammaproteobacteria; Enterobacterales; Enterobacteriaceae. The record is from RNAcentral.
AAAUUGAAGAGUUUGAUCAUGGCUCAGAUUGAACGCUGGCGGCAGGCCUAACACAUGCAAGUCGAGCGGUAGCACAGAGAGCUUGCUCUCGGGUGACGAGCGGCGGACGGGUGAGUAAUGUCUGGGAAACUGCCUGAUGGAGGGGGAUAACUACUGGAAACGGUAGCUAAUACCGCAUAACGUCGCAAGACCAAAGUGGGGGACCUUCGGGCCUCAUACCAUCAGAUGUGCCCAGAUGGGAUUAGCUAGUAGGUGGGGUAACGGCUCACCUAGGCGACGAUCCCUAGCUGGUCUGAGAGGAUGACCAGCCACACUGGAACUGAGACACGGUCCAGACUCCUACGGGAGGCAGCAGUGGGGAAUAUUGCACAAUGGGCGCAAGCCUGAUGCAGCCAUGCCGCGUGUGUGAAGAAGGCCUUCGGGUUGUAAAGCACUUUCAGCGGGGAGGAAGGCGAUAAGGUUAAUAACCUU